GACGAACGCUGGCGGCGUGCCUAAUACAUGCAAGUUGAGCGAUGAAGAUUGGUGCUUGCACCAAUUUGAAGAGCAGCGAACGGGUGAGUAACGCGUGGGGAAUCUGCCUUUGAGCGGGGGACAACAUUUGGAAACGAAUGCUAAUACCGCAUAAUAACUUUAAACAUAAGUUUUAAGUUUGAAAGAUGCAAUUGCAUCACUCAAAGAUGAUCCCGCGUUGUAUUAGCUAGUUGGUGAGGUAAAGGCUCACCAAGGCGAUGAUACAUAGCCGACCUGAGAGGGUGAUCGGCCACAUUGGGACUGAGACACGGCCCAAACGCCUACGGGAGGCAGCAGUAGGGAAUCUUCGGCAAUAGACGAAAGGCUGAACGAGCAACGCCGCGUGAGUGAAGAAGGGUUUCGGAUCGUAAAACUCUGUUGGUAGAGAAGAACGUUGGUGAGAGUGGAAAGCUCAUCAAGUGACGGUAACUAACCAGAAAGGGACGGCUAACUACGUG
Molecule: ribosomal RNA, 497 nt
Filed under: uncultured bacterium
Lineage: Bacteria
Description: partial 16S ribosomal RNA
Rfam family: Bacterial small subunit ribosomal RNA
Source: RNAcentral